RNAcentral lists this long non-coding RNA (801 nucleotides) under Cicer arietinum (chickpea). Its description in RNAcentral is "long non-coding RNA (CARI_LNC000494)". The record is from RNAcentral. Lineage: Eukaryota; Viridiplantae; Streptophyta; Magnoliopsida; Fabales; Fabaceae.
UCUCAAAGGCCAAAAAUAAUUUUAAUCCUUAUUUUUAUUUCCUUGGGUUAGAUAUAUAUCCCUAAUUUUUAUUUUCUUUUUAAUAAUUUUAACUUAAAAAAAAAUAUAAAUGAAACUCACUACUUUGAAUCGAUAACGAUCAAUGGAUCAAAUAAUUACAAGGUGGGACCCAUUCAAAUUCAACAAAUUACUACAAUUUUGAGAUUACUGAAUACUUGAAUUUCUAUCAAACUAUACUUUAUUAACUAUUAACAAAUUGGAAAACAAAAAUUGGUAGAUUAAGAUACUACAACAUUUUUUGAACUAAAGCACUACGAAAAACCGGAUCUAUAUACAUUGAAGGUGAAAAAUUGAAAGAAUGAAGUAAAGUUUGUAUGAGAAAAAGAAUGCCCCGCGACAUAAAUCAGGAAUUGGCAAUAACUGUAUGUUCUGUAUCAUUCGAAUCUAAUAUCCGAGAAGUUUUCUUGUUAUGUGGCUUAGAAAUCCAAGAGAAACACCCACUUGAUGUUUUGUCCAUAGAACCCGUUGUGCUUAAAUCAAUCUCCUUCACCUUUUCUUUGUCUUCGUGUGCCAUCUUCUUCAAUUUUUCCUUGUAAAGCUUCUGCAUCACAUAUGUUUCAGCGAGUCCAGACCCUGCCCAUGCCAUGCCUAGUUUGAAAUCAAUGAUAAUUCAAAAGUAUUUUGAAAGUGAGAAGAAAGAUGGAAUUAAUUUGCUUAUAUAAGGCUUGGAAAGAAAAGAAACGUGUCUCACACUGUCUAUUUUGACCAUCCAUUGCUUUUCGUAUAAACCACGGUUUUAUA